GCUCCAGUGAGGGAAUUAAGGACUGCAAGUUGUACUUGUAACGGGGAUCCAGCUGGCUGGCCACCCAGUAAUCAGCACAAGUUAAAAUGUGGGCAACUCGGCAGUCGUUGCGCAGGCACUUUGGUGAUUCUAGAUAACCUCGGGCUGAUUGCACGUCCCCGUGACGGGUAUGACGCAUUCGGAUGUCUGCCCUAUCAACUUUCGAUGGUUCUUUCUGCGCCUACCAUGGUGAUCAUGGGUAACAAGGAGUCAGGGUUCGAUUCCGGAG
This is a non-coding RNA of Pelobates cultripes (western spadefoot toad), 268 nucleotides long. The record is from the annotation of a GenBank genome assembly. Lineage: Eukaryota; Metazoa; Chordata; Amphibia; Anura; Pelobatidae.